RNAcentral lists this ribosomal RNA (667 nucleotides) under uncultured bacterium. Its description in RNAcentral is "bacterial SSU rRNA". It matches the Rfam family "Bacterial small subunit ribosomal RNA", at positions 28 to 674 of the family's 1533-position model. The record is from RNAcentral.
GACGAACGCUGGCGGCGUGCCUAAUACAUGCAAGUCGAGCGGACCAAAUCGGAGCUUGCUCUGGUUUGGUCAGCGGCGGACGGGUGAGUAACACGUGGGCAACCUGCCCGCAAGACCGGGAUAACUCCGGGAAACCGGAGCUAAUACCGGAUAACACCGAAGACCGCAUGGUCUUUGGUUGAAAGGCGGCCUUUGGCUGUCACUUGCGGAUGGGCCCGCGGCGCAUUAGCUAGUUGGUGAGGUAACGGCUCACCAAGGCGACAAUGCGUAGCCGGCCUGAGAGGGUGACCGGCCACACUGGGACUGAGACACGGCCCAGACUCCUACGGGAGGCAGCAGUAGGGAAUCUUCCGCAAUGGGCGAAAGCCUGACGGAGCGACGCCGCGUGAGCGAAGAAGGCCUUCGGGUCGUAAAGCUCUGUUGUGAGGGACGAAGGAGCGCCGUUCGAAGAGGGCGGCGCGGUGACGGUACCUCACGAGGAAGCCCCGGCUAACUACGUGCCAGCAGCCGCGGUAAUACGUAGGUGGCAAGCGUUGUCCGGAAUUAUUGGGCGUAAAGCGCGCGCAGGCGGUCUCUUAAGUCUGAUGUGAAAGCCCCCGGCUCAACCGGGGAGGGUCAUUGGAAACUGGGAGACUUGAGGACAGAAGAGGAGAGUGGAAUUCCAAGU